This 301-nucleotide ribosomal RNA is filed under the name uncultured bacterium. RNAcentral's name for it is "partial 16S ribosomal RNA". It matches the Rfam family "Bacterial small subunit ribosomal RNA", at positions 509 to 807 of the family's 1533-position model. The record is from RNAcentral.
CAGUAGCCGCGGUAAUACGUAGGGUGCGAGCGUUAAUCGGAAUUACUGGGCGUAAAGCGGGCGCAGACGGUUACUUAAGCAGGAUGUGAAAUCCCCGGGCUCAACCUGGGAAUUGCGUUCUGAACUGGGUGGCUAGAGUGUGUCAGAGGGGGGUAGAAUUCCACGUGUAGCAGUGAAAUGCGUAGAGAUGUGGAGGAAUACCGAUGGCGAAGGCAGCCCCCUGGGAUAGCACUGACGUUCAUGCCCGAAAGCGUGGGUAGCAAACAGGAUUAGAGACCCGCGUAGUCCCUGUCUCUUAUAC